UACAGAGGGGGCAAGCGUUGUUCGGAAUUACUGGGCGUAAAGGGCGCGUAGGCGGCCUGUUAAGUCGAACGUGAAAUCCCCGGGCUCAACCCGGGAACUGCGUCCGAUACUGGCAGGCUUGAAUUCGGGAGAGGGAUGCGGAAUUCCCAGUGUAGAGGUGAAAUUCGUAGAUAUUGGGAAGAACACCGGUGGCGAAGGCGGCCAUCUGGCCUGUAAUUGACGCUGAGGCGCGAAAGCGUGGGGAGCAAACAGG
Molecule: ribosomal RNA, 253 nt
Filed under: uncultured bacterium
Lineage: Bacteria
Description: partial 16S ribosomal RNA
Rfam family: Bacterial small subunit ribosomal RNA
Source: RNAcentral